GCCUCCAGUGGCACAGUGGGUCAGUGCAUCUGGCUGUGAACCAGAAGGUUGGUGGUUUGAGCCCAUCCAGGGUCGCU
This 77-nucleotide transfer RNA is filed under the name Podarcis lilfordi (Lilford's wall lizard). RNAcentral describes it as "tRNA.His". The stretch from base 8 to 68 matches the Rfam family "tRNA", at positions 7 to 64 of the family's 71-position model. From Rfam's summary of the family: Transfer RNA (tRNA) molecules are approximately 80 nucleotides in length. Their secondary structure includes four short double-helical elements and three loops (D, anti-codon, and T loops). The record is from RNAcentral. Lineage: Eukaryota; Metazoa; Chordata; Lepidosauria; Squamata; Lacertidae.